CUCAGUUAACGGUUGUCUCUAACUCCUGUCACUCUCAGUUAACGGUUGUCUCUAACUCCUGUCACUCUCAGUUAACGGUUGUCUCUAACUCCUGUCACUCUCAGUUAACGGUUGGAGGAGAAAGAAACAGCAAACAGAAGAGCACACUUACCAAUUGGAAGAGCACAAAAAGAGCAAUAUUUCAAUCUAUGUGGAAGGUCUACAAUAAAAAUACGUAGCUAUGGAUAUUCAUCAGCCGUAUGGUAAACGGCACAAGCAUGUGGCCGAGAUCAGCAGCCACUACCACAAGACAGCUUUCCCUGAGAAUGCAGGAAAGAACUCAAAGUUUGUUUUGGUUUUUGGCGACUCGCAUGUGAGGAGCCUGGUAGAUGGUUACGUUCAGAUGCUCGAGGGUGACCUGCUCUUUGGAUACAGCAGCACUCCAGGCGCUUGUGCAGCUGCACUCUGUAAAGAGGUGCUGAACGAAACCCUGCCUGAAGAGCCGGACCUGGUGUGUCUUAUUGCACCAGGGAACAACCUCUCGAAAAAAAACAUCCAACAAGCAGGGAAGGAGUUUG
Molecule: long non-coding RNA, 557 nt
Organism: Acipenser ruthenus (sterlet)
Lineage: Eukaryota; Metazoa; Chordata; Actinopteri; Acipenseriformes; Acipenseridae
Exons: 3
Source: RefSeq, a predicted model, not a curated record